UCAGCCAAUCAACAAGAUUUACCUGAAAGUAUGACGAUUUUACAAUUAAUACAAUUUUAGAAUCUGCUUAUGGAGAAAUAAGCAAUGCCAGAGUGACUAUGAUCAAAUGCCUGGGACUUCAGCUAAUGAAGUUAUGGAGUCUUUCAUAAUUAUAUGAGCAGCCAGAUGGAACACAACUGCAAUCCUAACAGAGCCUAUAAAUAAAUUCAAAAAGACACUGAUUAGAAUGGAGAACGAAUAGCUAACUUGGAAACCUAGCGAACCACUAAAACAUUAAUAUCCUCAGAAAAUCAAAUUGUUCACAUUGUUGCCAAGAGCAUUUGGUGGGACGAGUAAUAUCAUAAACAACUAGGCACAUGCCAAACUAAAUGCAUCUCUAAAGGAAAAUUAGUUAUCAUUGCGGUAGAAGUGUAAUACAAACACAAUCCUCCUGUUGUCUCACUGGUGCUUAAUUGCACCAAUUGAAAAUGGGAACAGUAGAAUUUGUUGAAGUGCUCUGGUGAACAAAAUCAUGCAGAUUAAAAUAAGGAAAUGGAUUUUUUGAAACAUGAAAUGCACAUAUGUUGAAUUUAAAGGGUACAUUCCACUAACAGAUUACAAAUUAAAGGGGGAAAAAAAAAAGGGAGCAACUCUGUAGUUUCUGCAACAGGAAAAUUCAAAAGAAGUUGAUCAAUAUGAUUUAACAAAUUAUUCCAAGAAAGCACCAGAAAUUAUGAGCCAAUAGUCAAAACUUGAGAUCCAGUCAAAGGUUCAAAAAAUUAAGGCUGGGUUUACAGGGCAGAGAGCAUGAUAGUUCAUUAUGCAGUCGUGAUCAUUGCAAAGAAGAGAAGAUGGAAUAAAAAGAGUAAUAUCAAAUGAUCCAAGUCCGUAAGGUUGCAUGUUAGUUAUAACUAUUUUGUUUUUGACAUUGGACAUAAUUUAUUUCAAUCAAUUAAAGGUUUCAAAAAGCCUCAAAAUCAAUUAUCAAGUAUGAGAAUUAAAUUUAGGAAAAUGUACAGUUAGCUCCAAAAAGACAAGUCUUAACCUUCCUUUGGCUUGUCCAAGCACCAACUAAUGCUAUUAAGUUUCAAAUGCUUUUGUUUUAGAAUUGUUGAAGAUUAAACUAUGAGAUAUGAAAAUAAUUAUAAGGUCUUUCUUCUGGUAAUUUUAACCCAUCUACCAAGAAAAGCACAAGAGCUGCUCGGUCUACUUGUUAGCGAAUUCAAAACCCAUCUACUAACCUUAUGGAAGAGAAUGCAAUCAAGAAAAGCAAGUUAGUUAGGUUAUCUUGAACAAACUCCAGCCCCAAUAAUUUCUAGGAGAUCCAAAGUCCAAACCACUGUGAAUUAAAGUAGUUUAUUGAUAAUUGUUGAUGCUUACAAUUUAGUAAUUGCAUUUUUGGCAUUUUAACAAAUUUUAUUAAAAAAAAAAAAUCUUCUGUACCUCAUGGGCAGGACGACCAUA
Molecule: unclassified non-coding RNA, 1443 nt
Filed under: Hevea brasiliensis (rubber tree)
Lineage: Eukaryota; Viridiplantae; Streptophyta; Magnoliopsida; Malpighiales; Euphorbiaceae
Source: RNAcentral